AUAAAAGCAGGCUGCGGAGCCAGCAGCGACAAUCGGUUGGGGUGUUUUUCAGGUGUGUGGGUGGUUUAGUUUUUUCGCUGUUUGGGGCCAUAUUGCUUUUAUGAGCUGUGACACUCACCGCGAAAGUCUGCGAAGCUUCAUUCAUGUAAGCCCCCGAGACCACGAACCUGCCGAGAGGAACGAACAAUUGUAGACGCGCCGCCUUAAGAGCUCUAACACUCACCGCGAAGGUCCGCAACUUCACUCCUGAGCCAGCGAGACCAGGAACCCACCAGAAGGAAAAAACUCUGGAACACAUCGGAAUAUCAGAAAGAACAAACUCCAGACACGCCGCCUUUAACAACUGUAACACUCACAGCGAGUGUCUGCACUUCAUUCUUGAAGUUAGUAAGAUCAAGAACCCACCACUUCCGGACACAAAAGUAAGGGGAUUACAGGUGAGAACUAUGGGGGGAGAGACGUAAGGCAGAAGAAGAUUACAUGUACGAGUUGACAGCAUAAUUCACUGGCAGAAUUCCAAAAA
RNAcentral lists this long non-coding RNA (523 nucleotides) under Homo sapiens (human). RNAcentral describes it as "HSALNT0196081". Lineage: Eukaryota; Metazoa; Chordata; Mammalia; Primates; Hominidae. The record is from RNAcentral.